RNAcentral lists this ribosomal RNA (624 nucleotides) under Trichoderma harzianum. RNAcentral's name for it is "eukaryotic LSU rRNA". The stretch from base 245 to 398 matches the Rfam family "5.8S ribosomal RNA". The record is from RNAcentral. Lineage: Eukaryota; Fungi; Ascomycota; Sordariomycetes; Hypocreales; Hypocreaceae.
CGUAACAAGGUACUCCGUUGGUGAACCAGCGGAGGGAUCAUUACCGAGUUUACAACUCCCAAACCCAAUGUGAACGUUACCAAACUGUUGCCUCGGCGGGAUCUCUGCCCCGGGUGCGUCGCAGCCCCGGACCAAGGCGCCCGCCGGAGGACCAACCAAAACUCUUAUUGUAUACCCCCUCGCGGGUUUUUUUAUAAUCUGAGCCUUCUCGGCGCCUCUCGUAGGCGUUUCGAAAAUGAAUCAAAACUUUCAACAACGGAUCUCUUGGUUCUGGCAUCGAUGAAGAACGCAGCGAAAUGCGAUAAGUAAUGUGAAUUGCAGAAUUCAGUGAAUCAUCGAAUCUUUGAACGCACAUUGCGCCCGCCAGUAUUCUGGCGGGCAUGCCUGUCCGAGCGUCAUUUCAACCCUCGAACCCCUCCGGGGGGUCGGCGUUGGGGAUCGGCCCUGCCUUGGCGGUGGCCGUCUCCGAAAUACAGUGGCGGUCUCGCCGCAGCCUCUCCUGCGCAGUAGUUUGCACACUCGCAUCGGGAGCGCGGCGCGUCCACAGCCGUUAAACACCCAACUUCUGAAAUGUUGACCUCGGAUCAGGUAGGAAUACCCGCUGAACUUAAGCAUAUCAAUAAA